AAGUCGUAACAAGGUUUCCGUAGGUGAACCUGCGGAAGGAUCAUUAUCGAGUUUUGACUGGGUUGUAGCUGGCCUUCCGAGGCAUGUGCACGCCCUGCUCAUCCACUCUACACCUGUGCACUUACUGUGGGUUUUACGGGUCGUGACAUGGGCUCGUUUAUUCGGGCUUGUUGAGCGCACUUGUUUGCCUGCGUUUAUCACAAACUCUAUAAAGUAUUAGAAUGUGUAUUGCGAUGUAACGCAUCUAUAUACAACUUUCAGCAACGGAUCUCUUGGCUCUC
This 281-nucleotide unclassified non-coding RNA is filed under the name Ganoderma australe. Its description in RNAcentral is "partial internal transcribed spacer region". The stretch from base 1 to 46 matches the Rfam family "Eukaryotic small subunit ribosomal RNA", at positions 1786 to 1831 of the family's 1831-position model. The record is from RNAcentral. Lineage: Eukaryota; Fungi; Basidiomycota; Agaricomycetes; Polyporales; Polyporaceae.